This 482-nucleotide ribosomal RNA is filed under the name uncultured bacterium. Its description in RNAcentral is "partial 16S ribosomal RNA". It matches the Rfam family "Bacterial small subunit ribosomal RNA", at positions 30 to 507 of the family's 1533-position model. The record is from RNAcentral.
AUUGAACGCUGGCGGCAUGCCUUACACAUGCAAGUCGAACGGUAACGGGCCUUCGGGUGCCGACGAGUGGCGCACGGGUGAGUAAUACAUCGGAACGUGCCCGAUCGUGGGGGAUAACGCGGCGCAAGCUUUGCUAAUACCGCAUACGAUCUACGGAUGACAGCAGGGGACCGCAAGGCCUUGCGCGGACGGAGCGGCCGAUGGCAGAUUAGGUAGUUGGUGGGAUAAAAGCUUACCAAGCCGACGAUCUGUAGCUGGUCUGAGAGGAUGAUCAGCCACACUGGGACUGAGACACGGCCCAGACUCCUACGGGAGGCAGCAGUGGGGAAUUUUGGACAAUGGGCGCAAGCCUGAUCCAGCCAUGCCGCGUGGAGGAUGAAGGCCUUCGGGUUGUAAACUGCUUUUGUACGGAACGAAAAGCCUUCUUUUAAUACAGGAGGGUCAUGACGGUACCGUAAGAAUAAGCACCGGCUAACUACGUG